Molecule: long non-coding RNA, 151 nt
Organism: Amblyraja radiata (thorny skate)
Lineage: Eukaryota; Metazoa; Chordata; Chondrichthyes; Rajiformes; Rajidae
Exons: 3
Source: RefSeq, a predicted model, not a curated record
CUCGAAGGGCCGAAUGGCCUACUCCUGCACCUAAUUUCUAUUGUGUUAUAAUCCAUUCCAUUAAUCCAUAUAAUUCCAGUCGAUCUGCCAUUCUUCACAGCUGUUAUAGUCCACCUUUAUUAUUCGUAAUAAGAACGUACAUCGGAUAUAA